RNAcentral lists this ribosomal RNA (360 nucleotides) under Triticum aestivum (bread wheat). RNAcentral's name for it is "partial small subunit ribosomal RNA". Lineage: Eukaryota; Viridiplantae; Streptophyta; Magnoliopsida; Poales; Poaceae. The record is from RNAcentral.
AUGGCAGGAUCACCGGAGGAGGAAAGAACAGCUCCGGAGGCCAGCAGGAGGAGCAACGCCGGCAGCAGUAGCUGUAGUAGCUCCAGCAGCAGCAGCAGCAGCGACGAUGACGUGCCGGUAGAGCACAUCGCAGUAACCGUCGGCGGGCCGGACGGAAGGGACCCUACUGAAGAGCCCGCUGCCGUCGACGGCGCCACCGGCGGCGUCGUGAACGCGCGAGGACAGCAAUGUGACCAAAAGGUGGCUGCAGGGAGGCUCAAGCUCAACGUCAGGAGGAGCGAUCUCGUGUUGACGCUGAUGGUUGCAGGAGGGGUUGCGGUCGCCGUUGCAGCAGCUUUCCUCGCCAGCAAAAAGCGUUGA